UUUUUUUAAACAAAAAAAAACAUUCUCUCUUUCUACCAGUAUUUCAACUAGAAAAAUUAACUAGUUCAGAAACAUAAUACAUAAAAUGACAAACAAAUUGUCAUGAUUGAUUUUUCCUUCGAUCGAUACAGGAGAAAACAAGUGUCAUCACUAUAUGCACAUAUAUAUUGGUCAAAGAACAAACUAAAAAUAAAAGAGCCAUUAUAUAUAUAGAAGAAACAAAACUCGAU
RNAcentral lists this long non-coding RNA (230 nucleotides) under Panax ginseng (ginseng). Its description in RNAcentral is "long non-coding RNA (PGIN_LNC008666)". The record is from RNAcentral. Lineage: Eukaryota; Viridiplantae; Streptophyta; Magnoliopsida; Apiales; Araliaceae.